GACGUAGGGCGCAAGCGUUGUCCGGAUUUAUUGGGCGUAAAGAGCUCGUAGGCGGCUCAUCGCGUCUGCCGUGAAAACCCGCAGCUCAACUGCGGGCUUGCGGUUGAUACGGGUGGGCUGGAGUUCGGUAGGGGAGACUGGAAUUCCUGGUGUAGCGGUGAAAUGCGCAGAUAUCAGGAGGAACACCGAUGGCGAAGGCAGGUCUCUGGGCCACUACUGACGCUGAGAAGCGAAAGCAUGGGGAGCGAACAGG
This 253-nucleotide ribosomal RNA is filed under the name uncultured bacterium. Its description in RNAcentral is "partial 16S ribosomal RNA". It matches the Rfam family "Bacterial small subunit ribosomal RNA", at positions 524 to 776 of the family's 1533-position model. The record is from RNAcentral.